GAUGAACGCUGGCGGCGUGCUUAACACAUGCAAGUCGAACGGGGGACAAUUUAAAGAAGCUUCGGCAGAUUUAGCUUGUUCCUAGUGGCGGACGGGUGAGUAACGCGUGGGUAACCUGCCUCACACUGGGGGAUAACAGUCAGAAAUGACUGCUAAUACCGCAUAAGCGCACAGAACCGCAUGGUUCAGUGUGAAAAACUCCGGUGGUGUGAGAUGGACCCGCGUUGGAUUAGCCAGUUGGCAGGGUAACGGCCUACCAAAGCGAUGAUCCAUAGCCGGCCUGAGAGGGUGGACGGCCACAUUGGGACUGAGACACGGCCCAGACUCCUACGGGAGGCAGCAGUGGGGAAUAUUGCACAAUGGGGGAAACCCUGAKGCAGCGACGCCGCGUGAAGGAAGAAGUAUCUCGGU
This 411-nucleotide ribosomal RNA is filed under the name uncultured bacterium. Its description in RNAcentral is "bacterial SSU rRNA". It matches the Rfam family "Bacterial small subunit ribosomal RNA", at positions 28 to 422 of the family's 1533-position model. The record is from RNAcentral.